UGGGCUAGAAAAUGCAGGAACCUGGAAGAAAUUUCGGGGUGCUCUUCGGAGAACCUGUGAUCCUGCCCGUGAGGGAAACCGUGUUUCCACGGCGGUCAGGAACAUGUCAAACCCAGGUAAGGUUCUUCGCGUUGCGUCGAAUUAAACCACAUGCUCCGCUGCUUGUGCGGGUCCCCGUCAAUUCCUUUGAGUUUUAGCCUUGCGGCCGUACUCCCCAGGCGGGGCACUUAAUGCGUUAGCUCCGGCACGGGAGGAGUCGACACCUCCCACACCUAGUGCCCAUCGUUUACGGCGUGGACUAC
This 302-nucleotide unclassified non-coding RNA is filed under the name uncultured Solirubrobacterales bacterium. Its description in RNAcentral is "contains 16S-23S intergenic spacer region". Lineage: Bacteria; Bacillati; Actinomycetota; Thermoleophilia; Solirubrobacterales. The record is from RNAcentral.